AGAUCCACCACCACCAUACUGCUGCUGCUGUGGUUGACCAGAAGACGGUGCAGACUGCUGAUUCCAUCCUGCAGGCGGCUGACCUUGUUGUUGCUGCUGGUGCUGCAUCAUCCACGACUGCUGCUGCUGGAGGUAAGCUUGUUGGUCGGAAGGAAUCUGCCCUGGCCCUGUUGCAGCACCGUUGGAAGCUGGAGGUGGCUGCUGCAUCAUGACGACGAUAACCUAGCAAAAGG
RNAcentral lists this long non-coding RNA (233 nucleotides) under Arabidopsis thaliana (thale cress). RNAcentral's name for it is "long non-coding RNA (ATHA_LNC000300)". Lineage: Eukaryota; Viridiplantae; Streptophyta; Magnoliopsida; Brassicales; Brassicaceae. The record is from RNAcentral.